UUAACGAAUAUAAUUCGGAGGGGGCUGUAGCUGGCCUCGGAAACGAGGCAUGUGCACGCUCCUUUCGUCUUUCAUAACUCUCCUGUGCACCUAAUGUAGGAUGCCCCUCCUUCGGGAGGGGGGACCUAUGUCUUCAUACGCCUCUUCGUGUAGAAAGUCUUAGAAUGUUUACUAUCAGAGAGUCGCGACUUCUAGGAGACGCGAAUCUCUGAGACAAAAGUUAAUUACAACUUUCAGCAAUGGAUCUCUUGGCUCUCGCAUCGAUGAAGAACGCAGCGAAAAGCGAUAUGUAAUGUGAAUUGCAGAUCUACAGUGAAUCAUCGAAUCUUUGAACGCACCUUGCGCUCCUCGGUGUUCCGAGGAGCAUGCCUGUUUGAGUGUCAGUGAAUUCUCAACCCCUCUCGAUUUUUUUCGAGGGGGAGCUUGGAUGGUGGGGGCUGCCGGAGACUAGGACCUCGUCCUUGACUCGGGCUCUCCUUAAAUGCAUUGGCUUGCGGUCGACUUUCGACUUUGCGCGACAAGGCUUUCGGCGUGAUAAUGAUCGCCGUUCGCUGAAGCGCAUGAAUGAACGUUCCGUGCCUCUAAUACCGUCGACGGUUACUAUCUCUUCGGAGAGAAAAGCGUCUUCCUUCAAUUGACUUUUGACCUCAAAUCAGGUAGGACUACCCGCUGAACUUUAAGCAUAUCAUA
Molecule: ribosomal RNA, 690 nt
Filed under: uncultured fungus
Lineage: Eukaryota; Fungi
Description: eukaryotic LSU rRNA
Rfam family: 5.8S ribosomal RNA (bases 229-383)
Source: RNAcentral